GCAAAACUCAAGAGCUGAUUACCAAUAUAUGGGUGAUAUAUUACCAAUCGAUCGGUCAGCAAUAUUAUUGAAAUAAAAUUGCAAUAUUCUUGCCUAGUAUUGGUGAUUUAUUACCAAUAAUUUUUCGGAAGGGAAUGCUCUUCAAGUAAAGUGCUAUGAUUUUACCUAAGUUCUAUUAUCAUGUAAAAUCACAAUAAAAUAUUCCAACGAAAUUGUGUGAUCGGUCACUGGGUGAAUGAAGGGUCUGUUUGGAGGGAUAUGGGGGGGGGGGGGGGUUGACGCCGGCACGCUACGUCACACGUUCUCGUGAAAUUCCGACAAGUUCCGCGCAACUUCGUACUUGGUCCGCUUCCGUUCGUUCGUUCGUUUCGUUGGCCUUGGCCGUUCUCACUCGGGAAAUCUGUAAUGGCGGAAUUGUGAUGCUUGUGAUACAUGACAUGUGGAUUGAUUAUUUGUGAAGUGUUAUCGUGCAAAUUUCCUAUCAUCAUCGUAGCAUCUAUCAUGGCGGAGCAGGUUAAACUCUGGACGAUCGUGAAGCUCAGUGACACAGAGGAACUGGAUGUCUUACCGAACCUAUGGAUUGACAGAACAGACAACAAGGCAGAAUACCCCGAAGGGACCCGGGCCCUUGUAACCAAAUUCGCAAAAAAUGUAGAAGAUCCUACAAAGAACAAAAAACUGCCUUUCGGCAGUGUAGAUUGGGAAAUGGUUCCUAUUGAAAUUAUCGAAGAAGACUAUGAUGACUUUCAAGUAGCCAUGGAAGACGCAAUAAGGUUUACUCAAGGCAAAAGGUCCAAAGCGGAAUCGGAGAAAGAGACAGGAAGAGGUCGGCGUAUCAAAAAAUCUAAAAGACUCAUAUCUUCCUCAGAAACAGACGACAGUUCAGGAGAACAGACUCCGCCAGGCCCCAAGCAGAGGAGCACCAAAACUCGACGACCCAUCCCGGAGUUCACUCCUCAACCGGUGCCUAAAGCACCACUCAUUUUUUCGAAAGAGAAUCCUUUAGACAAACCGGAGAGGAUGCAGUCACCGUCCCCUAGCAGUAGCAAAGUAGUUACAGCCAAAAAACCAUCACACAGUCAAAGCACAGAAAAAAAGGCACAGAAGCUGUCAUGCCCACUAAAGAAGAAUAAGAAACACAAUUGUGCCUGUGUGAAAGCACCCUCUCUGCCAGAGAUGGCUAGUGCGCUGUGUAUAUCCUCUCACGAGAUGUCCAAAGACUACGAGAGCUGUAUGAAAAGACUUCAUCUAUAA
RNAcentral lists this long non-coding RNA (1254 nucleotides) under Bemisia tabaci. RNAcentral describes it as "lncRNA ENSASIAIIG008677". Lineage: Eukaryota; Metazoa; Arthropoda; Insecta; Hemiptera; Aleyrodidae. The record is from RNAcentral.